AAGGAUCUGGGCUGAGAGGAAUCAGUUGGACUCUAUGUGGGCCUUGAACACAGGGCUUCUUCCAGCCUGUGGGGAUUUUGAAGUCGGAAGAAGUCCAGUUUUCACCCAAAAUGUGGCCCGAUGGACGAAUACCCCCCUCAAGUCCAAUUUGGUAUGAUUUUAACCCCCAAAUUCUUAAAACCAGAUAAAUCUUUCCCUAGGCGGUUUUGCUGCUGAUUUUAGGCGGUUUCUGGUUUGAUCUUGUGAUGUGGCUUGCUCCUUUGCUCUCUCCUAGUCGUUUCGCCCCUUCUUGCCAGUUGCCGUCGGCGCCGCCGCCAUGGGCAAGAAAGAUACAAACUGCUGUCGUGCAUGGAACAGUCUCGUCAGAGUGAUGCCUGGCUUCUGACGCCACCGUCAAGGCACAAGGUCACCACCAACGGCAAGUUGGCAACGAGUCCAGCCGCGCCGAGCUACGCGAGGCCACCGUCCUCCAGCACGCUGCGAUGGCCAACCUCAUGGGCCUCCUCCGCAGGCUUAGUGGUAUCACGUAGCUCGCCGCAGAUGUGUUCCACGACCUGCACGACCAUGCCACGACCACGUCUUCGCGGGCACGUGGCCUCACGCUGCAGGCGCAGUAGCUUGACGCAAAGCUAUCGCUCGUUGAGGAACGUCUCUGUCGACGUGAGAACAAAUGACUCUUCUUCCUGCAAUAGGAUGUUGUCGUUGCUUGUAGCAUUCAUACAUCUUGUAGUAAGCAGACCAAGGACGAGGGCGAAAUUAGGGUUGAGGAAUUGGACA
Non-coding RNA from Triticum urartu, 777 nucleotides. NCBI's taxonomy places the organism in Eukaryota, Viridiplantae, Streptophyta, Magnoliopsida, Poales, Poaceae. The record is from RefSeq and is a predicted model, not a curated record.